This 465-nucleotide ribosomal RNA is filed under the name uncultured bacterium. Its description in RNAcentral is "bacterial SSU rRNA". It matches the Rfam family "Bacterial small subunit ribosomal RNA", at positions 329 to 792 of the family's 1533-position model. The record is from RNAcentral.
UUCCAGACUCCUACGGGAGGCAGCAGUGAGGAAUAUUGGUCAAUGGCCGCAGGGCUGAACCAGCCAAGUCGCGUGAGGGAAGACGGUCCUAUGGAUUGUAAACCUCUUUUGUCGGGGAGCAACGAGGCCACGUGUGGCCGAAGUGAGAGUACCCGAAGAAAAAGCAUCGGCUAACUCCGUGCCAGCAGCCGCGGUAAUACGGAGGAUGCGAGCGUUAUCCGGAUUUAUUGGGUUUAAAGGGUGCGCAGGCGGCCUGUUAAGUCGGGGGUAAACGCCCGGGGCUCACCCCGGGCGAGCCGUUGAAACUGGCGGGCUGGAGUUGGAGAGAAGUACGCGGAAUGCGCGGUGUAGCGGUGAAAUGCUUAGAUAUCGCGCAGAACCCCGAUUGCGAAGGCAGCGUACCGGCUCCACACUGACGCUGAGGCACGAAAGCGUGGGUAUCGAACAGGAUUAGAUACCCGCGUA